AGCACUUUUUAACAACUGUGCUGACAGAUGUAAGUCCGACGUGCGACACCGCACUGCCAAAGAUGGCUUUGGGAUUAC
RNAcentral lists this non-coding RNA (78 nucleotides) under unclassified sequences. RNAcentral's name for it is "S15-Methanomicrobia ribosomal protein leader". It matches the Rfam family "S15-Methanomicrobia ribosomal protein leader". The record is from RNAcentral.